Molecule: ribosomal RNA, 245 nt
Filed under: uncultured bacterium
Lineage: Bacteria
Description: partial 16S ribosomal RNA
Rfam family: Bacterial small subunit ribosomal RNA
Source: RNAcentral
UACGUAGGUUGCGAGCGUUGUUCGGAUUUAUUGGGCGUAAAGGGUUCGUAGGGGGUCGGCCAAGUCUGACGUGAAAUCCCGGAGCUUAACUCCGGAACUGCGUUGGAAACUAGUCGGCUAGAGCGUCGGAGAGGGGAGUGGAAUUCCUGGUGUAGCGGUGGAAUGCGUAGAUAUCAGGAGGAACACCGAAAGCGAAGGCAGCUCCCUGGACGACCGCUGACCCUGAGGAACGAAAGCGUGGGGAG